RNAcentral lists this ribosomal RNA (209 nucleotides) under uncultured bacterium. RNAcentral's name for it is "partial 16S ribosomal RNA". It matches the Rfam family "Bacterial small subunit ribosomal RNA", at positions 1286 to 1500 of the family's 1533-position model. The record is from RNAcentral.
UCUCAGUUCGGACUGGAGUCUGCAACCCGACUCCACGAAGCUGGAUUCGCUAGUAAUCGCGCAUCAGCCAUGGCGCGGUGAAUACCGUUCCCGGGCCUUGUACGCACCCGCCCGUCAAGCCACGAAAGCCGGGGGUGCCUGAAGUCCGUGACCGCGAGGGUCGGCCUAGGGUAAAACUGGUGAUUGGGGCUAAGUCGUAACAAGGUAAC